This 467-nucleotide ribosomal RNA is filed under the name uncultured bacterium. Its description in RNAcentral is "partial 16S ribosomal RNA". It matches the Rfam family "Bacterial small subunit ribosomal RNA", at positions 329 to 792 of the family's 1533-position model. The record is from RNAcentral.
GCCCAGACUCCUGCGGGAGGCAGCAGUGAGGAAUAUUGGUCAAUGGGCGGAAGCCUGAACCAGCCAAGUCGCGUGAGGGAAGAAGGCCCUGCGGGUCGCAGACCUCUUUGGACGGGGAGCAAGGCCGCCGACGUGUCGGCGGAAGGAGAGUACCCGUAGAACAAGCAUCGGCUAACUCCGUGCCAGCAGCCGCGGUAAUACGGAGGAUGCGAGCGUUAUCCGGAUUUACUGGGUGUAAAGGGAGCGUAGACGGUUAUGCAAGUCUGAAGUGAAAGCCCAAGGCUCAACCAUGGGACUGCUUUGGAAACUGUAAAACUGGAGUGCAGGAGAGGUAAGCGGAAUUCCUAGUGUAGCGGUGAAAUGCGUAGAUAUUAGGAGGAACACCAGUGGCGAAGGCGGCUUACUGGACUGUAACUGACGUUGAGGCUCGAAGGCGUGGGGAGCAAACAGGAUUAGAUACCCUAGUA